AUUGAACGCUGGCGGCAUGCUUUACACAUGCAAGUCGAACGGUAACAGGCCGCAAGGUGCUGACGAGUGGCGAACGGGUGAGUAAUGCAUCGGAACGUGCCCGGUCGUGGGGGAUAACGCAGCGAAAGCUGCGCUAAUACCGCAUACGAACUCUGGACGAAAGCGGGGGACCGAAAGGCCUCGCGCGAGUGGAGCGGCCGAUGUCAGACUAGGUAGUGGGUGGGGUAAAAGCUCACCAAGCCAACGAUCUGUAGCUGGUCUGAGAGGACGACCAGCCACACUGUGACUGAGACACGGCCCAGACUCCUACGGGAGGCAGCAGUGGGGAAUUUUGGACAAUGGGCGCAAGCCUGAUCAAGCAAUGCCGCGUGCAGGAAGAAGGCCUUCGGGUUGUAAACUGCUUUUGUACGGAACGAAACGGUCCUGGUUAAUACCUGGGGCUAAUGACGGUACCGUAAGAAUAAGCACCGGCUAACUACGUGCCAGCCGCCGCCGUAA
Molecule: ribosomal RNA, 498 nt
Filed under: uncultured bacterium
Lineage: Bacteria
Description: partial 16S ribosomal RNA
Rfam family: Bacterial small subunit ribosomal RNA
Source: RNAcentral